UACGAAGGACCCAAGCGUUAUCCGGAUUUAUUGGGUUUAAAGGGUGCGUAGGCGGGUUAUUAAGUCAGUGGUGAAAGCUCCUAGCUCAACUGGGAAAUUGCCAUUGAUACUGAUGAUCUUGAGUAUGAUUGAGGUUGGCGGAAUGUGUCAUGUAGCGGUGAAAUGCUUAGAUAUGACACAGAACACCGAUUGCGAAGGCAGCUAACUAAGCCAUAACUGACGCUGAUGCACGAAAGCGUGGGGAGCAAACAGG
This 253-nucleotide ribosomal RNA is filed under the name uncultured bacterium. RNAcentral describes it as "partial 16S ribosomal RNA". It matches the Rfam family "Bacterial small subunit ribosomal RNA", at positions 524 to 776 of the family's 1533-position model. The record is from RNAcentral.